Molecule: ribosomal RNA, 740 nt
Filed under: uncultured bacterium
Lineage: Bacteria
Description: bacterial SSU rRNA
Rfam family: Bacterial small subunit ribosomal RNA
Source: RNAcentral
AGAGUUUGAUCAUGGCUCAGAACGAACGCUGGCGGCGUGCCUAACACAUGCAAGUCGAACGAGAAAUCCUGGGCAACUGGGAAAGUAAAGUGGCGCACGGGUGAGUAACGCGUGGGUAACCUACCCUUGAAUUGGGGAUAACUUUCCGAAAGGAAAGUUAAUACCGAAUAACAUGCAAAUCUCUUCGGAGGUUUGUAUCAAAGAUGGCCUCUGCAUGCAAGCUAUCGUUUGAGGAUGGGCCCGCGUACCAUUAGCUUGUUGGUGGGGUAAUGGCCCACCAAGGCUACGAUGGUUAGCUGGUCUAAGAGGAUGGCCAGCCACACUGGAACUGAGACACGGUCCAGACUCCUACGGGAGGCAGCAGUGGGGAAUCUUGCGCAAUGGGGGAAACCCUGACGCAGCAACGCCGCGUGGGUGAUGAAGGCCUUCGGGUCGUAAAGCCCUGUCAGGUGGAAAGAAACCUAUCGAUGUUAAUACCAUCGAUAAUUGACGGUACCACCGGAGGAAGCACCGGCUAACUCCGUGCCAGCAGCCGCGGUAAUACGGAGGGUGCAAGCGUUGUUCGGAAUUAUUGGGCGUAAAGCGCGUGUAGGCGGUCGGGCAAGUCAGAUGUGAAAGCCUUCCGCUCAACGGAAGAAGUGCAUUUGAAACUGCUCGGCUGGAGUACGGGAGAGGAGAGUGGAAUUCCCGGUGUAGAGGUGAAAUUCGUAGAUAUCGGGAGGAACACCAGUGGCGAAGGC